RNAcentral lists this small RNA (604 nucleotides) under Schizosaccharomyces pombe (fission yeast). RNAcentral describes it as "small heterochromatic RNA precursor". Lineage: Eukaryota; Fungi; Ascomycota; Schizosaccharomycetes; Schizosaccharomycetales; Schizosaccharomycetaceae. The record is from RNAcentral.
UUUUUUUUUUUUUUUUUCAGGACUUGUUGAAAGAGUUAUUACAACUACAACUAUAACUAUAACUACAACUAUAACUACAACGAUAAGAACUAUCACUACUCUGAAGACAACGAUGNGUUUUCUCAAGAUGAUAACGGAUCUAGCUUCGCCAUCAAUAAGUAUGAGACAAAGGAGUCCAUCUUUGAUGAAACAUCCAUUUUCCUGUUGNACAUUUUUGCAGGACAACUAGCCUGAGCACAAGAGACAUGGNGNACUAGACCUUGUGCGGAAUGUCUACUUCAAAACUUGCAUCUUUAUAUCUGAUAUAUAGAGAUAUAGAGAUAUAGAGAUAUAGAGAGAGGCUGAUGAUUUAUAAACACAAACGAUAAGACUUGUAACAUGAAGUUUAUCGAAAAAGUCAAUCUUUAAAUUCCUUUCUGAACCUCUCUGUUAUGUCAGGGCUUCGGUACCAUGCUUUUAGUGCGGUCAUUUAAAGGCAUAGCGAUGAUAGUUCUAAAGUUACUGUAUUGAUCAAUUGGAAGAACAUCCAAAUAAAAAAAAGCAUGCAAAAUGCUAGGAUUAUCAGUAACUGGCAAUAAAAAAAGAUAACNAAAAAUUUACAGGG